Molecule: ribosomal RNA, 1327 nt
Filed under: metagenome
Description: bacterial LSU rRNA
Rfam family: Bacterial large subunit ribosomal RNA
Source: RNAcentral
AGUGGAUGGGGAGCAACCUAGUUGUGCGUGUGUAAAGGUAGUGCCAAGAAAAGCGGUGAUCAUGAUGAAAAUCAAUUCCCGGUACCCGAAACCGACACAGGUGGGCAAGUAGAGAAUACUAAGGGGCGCGAGGUAACUCUCUCCAUGGAACUCGGCAAAAUGACCCCGUAACUUAGGGAGAAGGGGUGCCACCGAGAGGUGGUCGCAGUGAAGAGGCCCAGGCGACUGUUUAGCAAAAACAUAGGUCUCUGCAAACUCGAAAGAGGAGGUAUAGGGGCUGACGCCUGCCCAGUGCCGGAAGGUUAAAGAAGUUGGUCAGUCUUAGGAUGAAGCUAGCGACUGAAGCCCCGGUGAACGGCGGCCGUAACUAUAACGGUCCUAAGGUAGCGAAAUUCCUUGUCGGGUAAGUUCCGACCCGCACGAAAGGCGUAACGAUCUGGGCGCUGUCUCGGAGAGAGGCUCGGCGAAAUAGGAUUGUCUGUGAAGAUACGGACUACCUGCAUUUGGACAGAAAGACCCUAUGAAGCUUUACUAUAGCUUGGAAUUGUGUUCGGGCUUCCUGUGCGCAGGAUAGGUGGGAGGCGUAGAAGGUAUUCUUGUGGGGAUACUGGAGCCAACGGUGAGAUACCACUCUCAGGAGGCUAGAAUUCUAACUUAAUUAAGGACAGUUUCAGGUGGGUAGUUUGACUGGGGCGGUCGCCUCCAAAAAGGUAACGGAGGCGUACAAAGGUUCCCUCAGACUGGUUGGAAAUCAGUCGAAGAGUGCAAAGGCAGAAGGGAGCUUGACUGCGAGAAGUACAGUUCGAGCAGGGUGGAAACACGGUCUUAGUGAUCCGACGGUGCUGUGUGGAAGGGCCGUCGCUCAACGGAUAAAAGUUACUCUAGGAUAACAGGCUGAUCUCCCCCAAGAGUUCACAUCGACGGGGAGGUUUGGCACCUCGAUGUCGGCUCAUCGCAACCUGGGGCGGAAGUACGUCCCAAGGGUUGGGCUGUUCGCCCAUUAAAGCGGUACGUGAGCUGGGUUCAGAACGUCGUGAGACAGUUCGGUCCAUAUCCGAUGUAGGCGUGAGAAUAUUGAGAGGAGCCUUCCUUAGUACGAGAGGACCGGAAAGGACGCACCGCUGGUGUACCUGUUAUGAUGCCAAUUGUAAACGCAGGGUAGCCAAGUGCGGAGAGGAUAACCGCUGAAAGCAUCUAAGUGGGAAGCCCACCUCAAGAUGAGUAUUCUGGUGUAAGGUCACGGGAAGACGACCCGUAAAUAGGCACGAGGUGGAAGUGCAGUGAUGUAUGAAGCCGAAGUGUACUAAUAGACCGUCGGCUUGACCAG